This is a non-coding RNA of Cucumis melo (muskmelon), 101 nucleotides long. NCBI's taxonomy places the organism in Eukaryota, Viridiplantae, Streptophyta, Magnoliopsida, Cucurbitales, Cucurbitaceae. The record is from Rfam.
GUCCCUUUGGGGACAUCCGAUAAAAUUGGAAAGGUACAAAGUAGAUUAGCAUGGCUCGUGUACAAGGAGAUUCUGCUUUGAGUUAGAAGAAUGAAAAUGAC